RNAcentral lists this ribosomal RNA (253 nucleotides) under uncultured bacterium. RNAcentral describes it as "partial 16S ribosomal RNA". It matches the Rfam family "Bacterial small subunit ribosomal RNA", at positions 524 to 776 of the family's 1533-position model. The record is from RNAcentral.
UACAGAGGGGGCAAGCGUUGUUCGGAAUUACUGGGCGUAAAGGGCGCGUAGGCGGCCGCCUAAGUCAGACGUGAAAUCCCUCGGCCCAACCGAGGAACAGCCGGGGCUACGGCCGUGCUAGACGGCAUCAGGGGACAGUGGAACUUCCGGUGGAGCGGUGAAAUGCGUAGAUAUCAGGAGGAACACCGAUGGCGAAGGCAGGUCUCUGGGCAUUAACUGACGCUGAGGAGCGAAAGCAUGGGGAGCGAACAGG